UUUCUGUAAAAGAAAAAAACAACAACAAACAAAUCAGCCUUUUUUUUAUAUCAAUGUCAUCAAUGUGUAGGCCUAAUAUUAGACUUUCAAUGAUUCAGAAGUUUCUCUACAGUUUCGUUAUUUUUUUUUCCAGUCAUUGAUGUUAGCAUGUACUACACAAAGAAAAACAGGCAAAGCAUGAAGCCAAAGGAAAUGUUUUUACCAAGGCAUGUUCCUCAAUAGCGGAGAGAGUUUUAUCCAGAGUCGGUUCUGCAGAAGAACCCAUUCAUAGCAGACCACCCAUUGCAGCACUUGUAAGGUCGCUAUAAAGAACCCGACAGACUCUGCGACCAAAAGAUCCCACUGACGUGUCGUCAAGCCUUGACGAAGAUUUCAUCGAUCAUAGUGCACCGAGAUUUUAUCAAAAAAGAGUUAAAGUUGGGGAAAGGCGCCAUCACAUUUUUUGUACUGAUAGACAGAUGCAACUACUCGCACGCGCAAAAACUUGGUAUAUGGAUGCAACUUUUCGGGUGGUGAACAAGCCAUGGUCUCAGCUGUUUUCCAUCCACGCCUUCAUUAAGACUGGAGAGACCACCCGACAGUUACCAUUGGUGUUUUGUGUAAUGUCGGGUAAAAGCCAAGACGACUAUUAUAAGGUCAUUUUCAAAUAAAUUCAUCAGCAUAUUAUUCGUUUUAAAUAAAUAUAAAACUUUUAUGAGAAACGAUGAUUAUCAAAGAACCUCAGUGAUGAUAUGUGACUCUUUCCACCUUCCAGCAAUAAUUAUUGAGAAUUUACCAAGGACUCCAUUGGCAUUGAAUCGAAGAAAAACAGUUUCAAUAUUGGAUGUAUAUGCAAAUCACCCAGAAAAAGAUCAUGUAAUAACAAAAGAAAUUAUAAAAGAAAAAAAUGGAAGAAGAAAUGGCUGGAAAAAAUGAUGAUAGAGCAGCUUUUUCUUGUUACCCACCUCGGAAGAUCAAGUUGGAAAGGGCUAUUGAUAUUGUGGAGACGUUUUCUCACAGAUCUUGCUUAUCAGACAAAGACUAUGCUGGAACACCAUUGAAAGAGUAUUUGCUGUAUGAUAACAACAAGAAAACCCAAGCAUCAAUUUAUUUUAUACUUCUGGGAAAGAAUGCAUUUGACCCAAUUUUUAAAUAUUUAUUUUUUGUUAUUAAUGUUAAAUUUUCUUCCAAAACACAAUUAGAUUUUAAUUCUCUUCAGAAAUGUAUGUAUAAUAUAGCAAGUAAAGUGGCAUAUAAAUCACUUAGAAUUUGGUCAGAAAUCAUAAAGUAUUUAAUAGGCAUUACUAGAAACCAAAUGUAGAUCAAAUACA
This is a long non-coding RNA of Patella vulgata (common limpet), 1310 nucleotides long. RefSeq lists it as uncharacterized. The record is from RefSeq and is a predicted model, not a curated record. NCBI's taxonomy places the organism in Eukaryota, Metazoa, Mollusca, Gastropoda, Patellidae. The transcript has 8 exons.